Molecule: ribosomal RNA, 242 nt
Filed under: uncultured bacterium
Lineage: Bacteria
Description: partial 16S ribosomal RNA
Rfam family: Bacterial small subunit ribosomal RNA
Source: RNAcentral
UACGUAGGGUGCAAGCGUUGUCCGGAAUUAUUGGGCGUAAAGAGCUCGUAGGCGGCCUGUCGCGUCGGCUGUGAAAACCUGGGGCUCAACCCCGGGCCUGCAGCCGAUACGGCAGGCUAGAAUCGGUAGGGGAGACUGGAAUUCCUGGUGUAGCGGUGAAAUGCGCAGAUAUCAGGAGGAACACCGGUGGCGAAGGCGGGUCUCUGGGCCGAUAUUGACGCUGAGGAGCGAAAGCGUGGGGG